CCGAACUCUAGCCCAACCACAUCACAACCAACAGCCAAAAACUAACUCCCAACCACAAACCAAAACAUUGUCUUAACUUAGUAUAGGCGAUAGAAAAGUUUUCCUCCUGGCGCGAUAGAGACCUCUUUGUACCGUAAGGGAAAGAUGAAAUAAUAGUGAAAAUCAAAGCGACCCACAGCAAAGAUAAACCCUUGUACCUUUUGCAUCAUGGUUUAGCAAGAACAACCUAGCAAAACGUAUUUAAGCUUGCCGCCCCGAAACCCAAGCGAGCUACCUACAGGCAGCUAAUCCCUGAGCAAACCCGUCUCUGUUGCAAAAGAGUGGGAUGACCUGUUGGUAGAGGUGAAAAGCCAACCGAGCUGGGUGAUAGCUGGUUGCCUGUGAAACGAAUCUAAGUUCCCCCUUGAUUUCUCUCCACGGACCUCCCACCCUAACCCCCACAUAGUAAAUCAAGAGCAAUUUAAAGGAGGUACAACUCCUUUAAAAAAGGACACAACCUCUCAUUGCGGAUAACCCCCUACCCGCCCUUCCAUGUAGGCCUUCAAGCAGCCACCAACAAAGAGUGCGUCAAAGCCUCUCCACCCAAAAAAUCUGAAAACAGCAUGACUCCCUCCUCACUAACAGGCCAACCUAUUACAAUAGGAGAACCAAUACUAGAAUGAGUAACUAGGGGUACCCCUCUCAAGCGCAAACUUACAUCCUCACAUUAUUAACAGCCCCAACUAAUGUACUACACCAACAAGCCAACACAUUAAACC
Molecule: ribosomal RNA, 758 nt
Filed under: Neophron percnopterus (Egyptian vulture)
Lineage: Eukaryota; Metazoa; Chordata; Aves; Accipitriformes; Accipitridae
Description: 16S ribosomal RNA
Rfam family: Bacterial large subunit ribosomal RNA (bases 226-671)
Source: RNAcentral